RNAcentral lists this ribosomal RNA (467 nucleotides) under uncultured bacterium. RNAcentral describes it as "partial 16S ribosomal RNA". It matches the Rfam family "Bacterial small subunit ribosomal RNA", at positions 28 to 507 of the family's 1533-position model. The record is from RNAcentral.
GACGAACGCUGGCGGCGUGCUUAACACAUGCAAGUCGAACGGAAAGGCCCUGCUUUUGUGGGGUGCUCGAGUGGCGAACGGGUGAGUAACACGUGAGUAACCUGCCCUUGACUUUGGGAUAACUUCAGGAAACUGGGGCUAAUACCGGAUAGGAGCUCCUGCUGCAUGGUGGGGGUUGGAAAGUUUCGGCGGUUGGGGAUGGACUCGCGGCUUAUCAGCUUGUUGGUGGGGUAGUGGCUUACCAAGCUUUGACGGGGAGGCGGCCUGGGAGGGGUACCGGCCCCAUUGGGACUGAGAUACGGCCCAGAAUCCUACGGGAGGGAGCAGUGGGGAAUAUUGCAAAAUGGGCGGAAGCCUGAUGCAGCAACGCCGCGUGCGGGAUGACGGCCUUCGGGUUGUAAACCGCUUUCGCCUGUGACGAAGCGUGAGUGACGGUAAUGGGUAAAGAAGCACCGGCUAACUACGUG